RNAcentral lists this unclassified non-coding RNA (21 nucleotides) under Chlamydomonas reinhardtii. RNAcentral's name for it is "small RNA Cre_0887". The record is from RNAcentral. Lineage: Eukaryota; Viridiplantae; Chlorophyta; Chlorophyceae; Chlamydomonadales; Chlamydomonadaceae.
CACGCGGGCGAGGCCAACACC